CUAUAUACACAGUUAGGAAAUUAAUAGAAUUUUCUUUUCUCUUUUUCUGGUUUUGAUAGAAUAUGAAAAUGCAAUAGAAUAACAAUCCAGAACCCACAUUCAUGAUCAACCAGAAUCUACCAACCUCACUCGAAAUCAUUGCCAAAAGCAUGAACAACCUACCUAACCAGACAAUUCUAUUAGCUUCUAAAACAAUUAAAUAUUUACUACCUUCAUGAACCAAGUUGAAAGUAAAAAGUGAAUAAGCACCUGAUCAUGUGUCACUCCAGAUUGGCAAGUGUUAAAUCUUCAAAGAAGUCCAUGAAGCUUCCAGUAAAAGUGUAAGGAAAGCCUGUAUCUAUAUAGUGCACCUCCAUUUGCCUGUCUGCAUUCAUUUCAAUACCAGUUUGGAUUCUGAAUUCAACAAGAAGCUGUAACUAAAUAAGAGACUAACAUGACCAUAUACCAUAAAUAGCCCAAAAAAAAAAAGAACCUAUUGAAAAUCCUUCAUUAUCCUUUCUUUUAUCAGUUGGAUAAAAGAACAAAAGAAAAAGAGAAAGAGACUAAAUGAAAUUAAAUAGUGAUUUAUCUCUUUACUUGUCUUACUGAGUUAAGCCCUUGAGUUCAUUCAGUGUAAAAGCAAAGCUAAUUUAACCAUUCCUGCAAAAACAACAGAAGUGAAAAACAUCACCAUAACUGAUUAAAAUUAAAAGUCUCAAACUUUAUCAAUUAAAAGUCUCAAACUUGGGGCAGAAAUAGGUCAUACCCAGAUCAAAUUUUCUUUUGCAAAAUUAUGAAAAACAAAUAUCUCACCAAUAAUUUUAUUUUUCUUUUCCCAUAUCCUCGUUGUUAUUGACAUCCAAAUGGAAACACAGGAAGAAAAUUCCAUUAGGAUUUCGUUUCAUUUGCACCUCAUUUACCAAAAUCUUCUCAUACUCCAGGGAAAAAACUCCAAAAAACUGAAAUUCAUGGGGAGAAAAAGAAAAAGAAACUACAAGAAUCAGAAUCAUGUUUUGCAAAACGGGAAGGAAGGGAAAGCAAGUACACAGCUUUAUGUAAAUAAACUGCAAUUACUAUCAGGAAGUAAACAUAUUAUAGUUGUUAAUGGUGAAAAUAGAAACCUACCACACCAAGAAGAAAAUAAUGGGUUGGUGCUAUAUACACACAGUCUGUUUGUGUAUCUAAACAUCUGAUUUUUUAUAUGCAAAAGGAGAGAAACCCAGAAAAAAACAUUAAAGUGAGAAAAUGUAGAGCAGUUUAAAGAUAAAUCACAUUGUCAUGUAAUUCAUUUCUUGGCUUUGGUAAUGAAAAUAAUGAUCUGAGCUUAGAGAACAAAAACCAAAAAAACAAAAGGAGAUAAAGGGAAAAAAAUUGAGAGAAAAAAGAGAACAAAUAAAGAAUGAGAAGAAACCAAGUAAUUAUAGAGCCAAAUUGAGCUCAAAAGAGCUCGAGAGAGAGAGAGAGAGAGAGAGAGAGAGAGAGAAGCUCUCUGUCUCUUUUUUCUGGUGCUCAACUCUUCCCCCAUGUCUGUUUUCUCUUCUCUUUGAAACUCUUGUCUCUUUUUUCUGCUGCCCAACUCCUCCCCCAUGUCUGUUUUCUCUCCUCUUUGAAACUCUUUCUGGGUCUCUCUCUCUCUCAUGGUGGCUGGCGCUCUUAUGCUUGUUGGGUUUCUCUACUGACACGUCCAUCCCGCGAAGAGGAGUUGUUUUACACGACGUCGUUUCGUAGGGAUCAAAAAUACAAAAUAUAUUAUAU
Molecule: long non-coding RNA, 1734 nt
Filed under: Carica papaya (papaya)
Lineage: Eukaryota; Viridiplantae; Streptophyta; Magnoliopsida; Brassicales; Caricaceae
Description: long non-coding RNA (CPAP_LNC014991)
Source: RNAcentral